Molecule: ribosomal RNA, 360 nt
Filed under: uncultured bacterium
Lineage: Bacteria
Description: bacterial SSU rRNA
Rfam family: Bacterial small subunit ribosomal RNA
Source: RNAcentral
CGCGUAGGAACGUACCCCAAAGUGAGGGAUAAGCACCGGAAACGGUGUUUAAUACCGCAUAUGGUCUUCGGAUUAAAGCAGCAAUGCGCUAUGGGAACGGCAUGCGUCGGAUUAGCUAGUUGGUGAGGUAAUGGCUCACCAAGGCGACGAUCCGUAGGUGGUCUGAGAGGAUGAUCAGCCAGACAGGAACUGAGACACGGUCCAGACUCUUACGGGAGGCAGCAGUUAGGAAUUUUCCACAAUGGGGGCAACCCUGAUGGAGCAACACCGCGUGCUGGAUGAAGGCCUUCGGGUCGUAAACAGCUUUUGUAUACGAAGAAUAUGACGGUAAUAUACGAAUAAGGGUCGGCUAAUUACGUG